UAUAAACUAAUAAAGAUUGAUUAUCUGGUUUUCAUUUAUUUAUUUAAAAAAAAAAUCCCUGUGUAUGUUUAUGAUGAGUUUUUAUGUGCAUAUUUGACAAGUUAAUUAUCAGGACUGAUUUGAAUCUUAACCAAUUUUUUUUUUCAAUUGAUCAAGUUUUUGUUUUCAUUUUUAUUUUCAUGAAAUAAGUCAAAAAACACAUUCCAACUCAUUUUUAAAAUACAAUUAUUUAAAUUUUUCGAACUUGAUAUGCUGAAAGCCUUUGGUUUGAAAAAGAAUGGAGGAUGUUAAGUUUUGGAUGGAUUCCUCAUAUUUUUAGAGCUGUAAAAUCAAACAUGAAGUUUAUUUAUAGUUAAAGAAUUAAGACAAUUUUUAAAGUAAGGACCCCACACAAAUUAGUGCCAUAUUGUGAAAUAUAUGAAAGAGUGAAUAAAGGUUAGAAAUAGGUUGUAUUAUAAUAUUAAGUAUUUGUAGUAGGCAAGAUAAGUAAUUUUGUUUCAUGCUUUAUUUAUUUUGAUCUGUAAAAUCAGACAACCAUUUGUUCUGGUGCUUAUAGAUGCCCAAAAUUUCAAUGAUUCUUUUCUAAAUGCAAACAAAUGUAUGAUUGUAUAAUUUGUGACCAUUCUAUUUAUCUAAAACAUUUAACAUUUAAAGAAUAGGCAUGACAUGUAUAAAAGUUUAAUUAUUUGAUUAAUAAGAUAUUGUGUGAGUGGUUGUAAAAUUGAGUACAGUAUAACAAAGAAUUAUAUAUAUUAUCAGGUUAAGCAACUGGUUCAUGUAUUUUAUUUAUGAAACUACAUUUACUCAUAGUUUUAAAAACAUCCAAACAUUCAAAAAGAGUAGGAGAUUUUGUUUGUAAUGUCGUAUUGCAUAAUAUUUGUGAUAAUUAACUUGUAGGCAAACAACAAUAGAAUUAGUGAAAAAACAUCCUUUCCAAAACCAAUUUUGAUUUUAUUAAUUAUUAGAAGUUAGAAAGAUUAUUUUCUCUGUAAUGUAUAAUUUGUUUUAUGUGAAAUGUGUGAUGCGAUUAGAUUUUUUUUCAUCACAGAAUGAAUUUUUUGAAUUGUAUAUUAAUAUUAAAGGGUCAUGUUUAAAUUCAGAAAUUAAUUCAAACUUUUUAAAUUAAGUGUAAAUUAUGACAAAUAUUCCAAUAGUGUUGAAUAUUGCAUUAUAUACUGCUCCAACCUAAAAUUAACCACGUUAAUAAAUCUUGCAUUAUUGUCACUUGUUGAAGAUACAAUACAAUAAAUAUAUUGAUAGAUUUAGUUCAAAAAAUUAAGGAUGUUUGCUCCUUUUGUUUUUGAAUUUUUGCCAGAUAUUCAGAAUCCUCUGGUUUAUCUAUGUAGUGCCAUUAAAAAUUUUGCCAACAAACCCCUACUUUUCUUUCCAUAAUUUUAUGACAUAUAUUUUAAAAAGCCAUUUUUGAAAAUCUUCUAAAAUCCUUGUUAUUUUUUCAUAGUUUUUGAAAGAAAAAAGGUUAAAUGUAUGAAAAAGCUAGAGAGAAUCACUUCCCAUCAAAUUUUCAAUGGCUUAUAUCUCGAAAACAAGCACAUGAAUCCUUCUAUAUUUUCUGCUUUUUAAAUUCCUUUAUUCAUAUACUUUCAAUUUAUAACAGUCUUUUCAAAAACUUUUUAUUUUAAAACAGAGUAGCAAACAUCCUUAAAUUAUAUAGGCAGCAUGAUAAUUUCAGCAGAUUUCACCAAAUUGUGUUCUUAAUUGUUGAUAUGCAAUAGUUGUAGGGAGAUUUAAAGAUUCAUAUGUUUGCACUGCCAUUUAACAAAAACAUGUUUCUAUUUGUACACCCUUGUCAUAAACAGGACCUUUUAUGCUAUACUGUUGUCCAUCUGUCAGUCAGAUGUCUACAUGUCAUAUAAUAGCUAGAAAAAUUAUGAAACUUGUAUGGAAUAUUUGAUUCAUUUAAAAAAAUUUUUUUUUUAGGUUAGUCUUUAUAGAAUUAUUGGGUAUUAACCGUCAGAUUUAAGGUAAUUUUUUGCAAAUCAAGCUUUUACUUAGCUCUAAACUGAGUAUUCUUGGGUGUAUUAUUUAGUAACUUUAAACUAAGCUGUUUGUUCUGUUUAGUGUUAGUAAGCAACUUUUUAUUUGGAAAAUUUUCUGGUUUGAGGUUUUUUUUGCAGGGCCAUCUUAAUGAAUGGAGUAAAUGCCUUCUAAAGUAUUACAUUUUAUUCUUUCAACAAUUUUAAUAUGCACAGGACAGGCGUAUCUUGUUUGUUUGGCAUAGUUGAUUAUUAUUUUUGUUAUAACACAUAAAAAAUGACUAAUUUAUUGGUCAACAUAUGGAAUCUUAUAAAUGUCUUGUUUUAAUUCGCUAGUAAACAGACAACAAAUGGAAUCUUUUAUAUGACUUGUUUUAUUGGCUAGUCAACUUUUGACCAAUGGAAUAUUUUAUAAGACUUGCUUAAGAAUCUGUUAUGACUUGUUUUUAUUUGCUAGUCUACAGUCAACAACUGGAAUCUUUCAUAUGUCUUGUAUUUUUAUUACUUGUCAGUGAUAGGUGAAGUAUGAAAGUUUGUAAAAAAAAUAAAAGAAAUAAUUCCAUUUUGUGAUUUAUUUGAUCAUACUUAAAUUUAAGUCGUGUAAAAGACCAAACAAAGAAAUAAAGUUAUUUCUACAGCAAAAACUCUUGCCAGUGUUAUAGUCUAACAAAAUGCUUUAGUUUCAUUUUGUUGUUAAUACUUUUUAAGAAUGUAAUUAAAUUUAAUUAAAGUCUAUCCAAACUGAAUAGGUGAUUUCCUUCUUAUGAAAUUUUGGUGUGCGAGAUUUGCUCUAGAACCUACUAUAUGUUGCUUUUUUUAAAAUUAUUUUAUCAAACCUUUUGCUGUUAAAUUAUUAUUUAAAAAAAACCCUUUAAACACUGUAUUUUUUCAAAUACAUGUAGAUCUAAUUAAAAAAAGUAUUAAACAACUAAAACAAAACUGCAGGUAACUUUGACACAUUCUUUUUUUUAAAUAAUGUUUUAACAAUGUCAGUUUUGUUUUAAGGAAAUACAACUGCUUAUCAUCGAAUGAACUAGGAUAUUUAUUGUUCAUGAGGAAAGAUUUAACCUUUCUCUGAAGGGCAUUAUCUUAAGAAAGAUAUUUCCAAAUUUAUGCAUAUACAAUAACCUGUUUUUUUUAUUGAAAGGUGCAAUAUUGUUCUGAUUUGUAUAUAUAUUAUUAUUUACAAAACUUUGGUUUGUAAUUUAUAAAAUGUUGUUGUACAUAUUUACUUUAAAAACUAUGUAUUUGAAAAACUAUUUUGAUCUGCAACAUUGUAGACAUACAUUAAUUCUUUUUGUGUAUAAGAAUUUUGGCGCAUGUCUGCGGUACAAAAUUUGCAUCCUGGUAUCUAUGAUGAGUUUAUUUUAUAGCAGUAUGUUGAUUACAUUUCUGCCAUUUUAGGUUAAGGAGUCUAAAAAGGUUAUAAUUGAUAAUUUUGUAAUUAUUUAAGACUAACAGGUCUUAUUAUUUUCAGGACUCUUUGAGCCUCUAAUUAUGAAUAAAUAACUACCAUCUAUAUAAUAUUUGGCAAUAAUGUAGUUUUAUUCAUAGAUAUGUUAACAUGGUCUAUUAUGUAACUUCCCUUUUUUUCAUUCUGUUGCUUUGUAAACAUUUUGCAUUUGUAUCUUCUUCCUUCCUUUCAUUCAUUUCUAUUCUAUGAUUUCUAUCACUAUGUUAUGUAUGUACCAUUAAGAAUGGUUCAAAUAAUGUUUGUUAACGAUAAAGAAAUACAUUUGAUUUUU
Molecule: long non-coding RNA, 3739 nt
Organism: Mytilus californianus (California mussel)
Lineage: Eukaryota; Metazoa; Mollusca; Bivalvia; Mytilida; Mytilidae
Exons: 2
Source: RefSeq, a predicted model, not a curated record